This 865-nucleotide ribosomal RNA is filed under the name uncultured bacterium. RNAcentral's name for it is "bacterial SSU rRNA". It matches the Rfam family "Bacterial small subunit ribosomal RNA", at positions 37 to 896 of the family's 1533-position model. The record is from RNAcentral.
UGGCGGGAUGCUUUACACAUGCAAGUCGAACGGCAGCACGGACUUCGGUCUGGUGGCGAGUGGCGAACGGGUGAGUAACAUAUCGGAACGUAUCCAAUAAUGGGGGAUAACUAAUCGAAAGGUUGGCUAAUACCGCAUACGCCCUACGGGGGAAAGCUAGGGACCUUCGGGCCUGGCGUUAAUGGAGCGGCUGAUAUCUGAUUAGCUAGUUGGUGAGGUAAAGGCUCACCAAGGCGACGAUCAGUAGCUGGUCUGAGAGGACGACCAGCCACACUGGAACUGAGACACGGUCCAGACUCCUACGGGAGGCAGCAGUGGGGAAUUUUGGACAAUGGGCGCAAGCCUGAUCCAGCCAUUCCGCGUGAGUGAAGAAGGCCUUCGGGUUGUAAAGCUCUUUCGCAAGGGAAGAAAACUUAUCCUCUAACAUAGGAUGAGGUUGACGGUACCUUGAUAAGAAGCACCGGCUAACUACGUGCCAGCAGCCGCGGUAAUACGUAGGGUGCGAGCGUUAAUCGGAAUUACUGGGCGUAAAGCGUGCGCAGGCGGUUUUGUAAGUCAGAUGUGAAAUCCCCGAGCUCAACUUGGGAACUGCGUUUGAAACUACAAGACUAGAAUAUGUCAGAGGGGGGUAGAAUUCCACGUGUAGCAGUGAAAUGCGUAGAGAUGUGGAGGAAUACCAAUGGCGAAGGCAGCCCCCUGGGAUAAUAUUGACGCUCAUGCACGAAAGCGUGGGGAGCAAACAGGAUUAGAUACCCUGGUAGUCCACGCCCUAAACGAUGUCUACUAGUUGUUGGUGGAGUAAAAUCCAUGAGUAACGCAGCUAACGCGUGAAGUAGACCGCCUGGGGAGUACGGUCGCAAGAUUA